GUAGCCUUGCGGCCCCGAGGUUCUCCGGUCUGGGCCGGAGCUAAGAGGGAACGCGGUGCGACACCGCGGCUGCCCCCGCAACUGUAAACGGUACGAGUCCCCUCACGACGCCACUGCUCACGCGGGAAGGCGAGGGGAUGGCGCCAAGGCGCCCACCGUGAGCCAGGAGACCUGCCUCGAAGGAAGCGCCCCGC
RNAcentral lists this non-coding RNA (194 nucleotides) under Pseudomonas sp. OF001. Lineage: Bacteria; Pseudomonadati; Pseudomonadota; Gammaproteobacteria; Pseudomonadales; Pseudomonadaceae. The record is from RNAcentral.